UACGUAGGGUGCAAGCGUUAAUCGGAAUUACUGGGCGUAAAGCGUGCGCAGGCGGUUUUGUAAGUUUGUCGUGAAAGCCCCGGGCUCAACCUGGGAAUUGCGAUGAAGACUGCAAGGCUUGAAUCUGGCAGAGGGGGGUAGAAUCCCACGUGUAGCAGUGAAAUGCGUAGAGAUGUGGAGGAACACCGAUGGCGAAGGCAGCCCCCUGGGUCAAGAUUGACGCUCAUGCACGAAAGCGUGGGGAGCAAACAGG
This 253-nucleotide ribosomal RNA is filed under the name uncultured bacterium. Its description in RNAcentral is "partial 16S ribosomal RNA". It matches the Rfam family "Bacterial small subunit ribosomal RNA", at positions 524 to 776 of the family's 1533-position model. The record is from RNAcentral.